CGCAUCUGUGCAUGCAGCAUAUCAAUAAGCGGAGGAAAAGAAACUAACAAGGAUUCCCUUAGUAACGGCGAGUGAAGCGGGAAGAGCUCAAAUUUGAAAUCUUCAAGGUUUUACCUUGACGAAUUGUAGUUUAAAGAAGUGUUUUCUGUUGAAGUUUUGGUAAAAGUUCUUUGGAAUAGGACAUCAUAGAGGGUGAGAAUCCCGUAUUUGACCAUUAUUUUCAGCUGUGUGAUACACUUUCAAAGAGUCGGAUUGUUUGGGAAUGCAGUCCAAAAUGGGUGGUAAAUUUCAUCUAAAGCUAAAUAUUGGCGAGAGACCGAUAGCGAACAAGUACCGUGAGGGAAAGAUGAAAAGAACUUUGAAAAGAGAGUUAAACAGUACGUGAAAUUGUCAAAAGGGAAGCGUUUGACACCAGUGUUGUUUUCUCGAAAAUCAAUUAAAAAGAGUUUGAUUUUGUUGUGUAUUGACCUUAACAGCUUGUAUUUCAAUUUUCUUGCUCUUUUUAAUGCACUUUUCGUUUAACAAGUCAACAUCAGUUUCUUUUGUUGUAAAAAGGUCAUUGGAAGGUGGCUUUCUUUUCGGAGAAAGUGUUUAUAGCCUUUGACUCCUGCAAUCGGAGAGACUGAGGUCUGCAGCGUAGAUCCUUCGGGGUUAGAUACAUUUGUGCUAAGUUAUAGCUUUUUAUAGACAACUUGUUGACUAUGAUUAGUCUUGUAGCUUACUCGCUUAUACUAUUUUACCUACGCUUAGGAUGUUGAUGUGAUACUGCGAGCA
RNAcentral lists this ribosomal RNA (774 nucleotides) under uncultured Neocallimastigales. Its description in RNAcentral is "partial large subunit ribosomal RNA". It matches the Rfam family "Eukaryotic large subunit ribosomal RNA", at positions 26 to 635 of the family's 3401-position model. Lineage: Eukaryota; Fungi; Neocallimastigomycota; Neocallimastigomycetes; Neocallimastigales. The record is from RNAcentral.